UGCUCGACUGAGCUCCGCCCGACCUCCACCCUUUGUGAACCAAACUUGUUGCUUCGGGGGCGACCCUGCCGACGACUUCGUCGCCGGGCGCCCCCGGAGGUCUUCUAAACACUGCAUCUUUGCGUCGGAGUUUAAACAAAUUAAACAAAACUUUCAACAACGGAUCUCUUGGUUCUGGCAUCGAUGAAGAACGCAGCGAAAUGCGAUAAGUAAUGUGAAUUGCAGAAUUCAGUGAAUCAUCGAAUCUUUGAACGCACAUUGCGCCCUUUGGUAUUCCGAAGGGCAUGCCUGUUCGAGCGUCAUUUCACCACUCAAGCCUGGCUUGGUAUUGGGCGUCGCGGUUUUCCGCGCGCCUUAAAGUCUUCCGGCUGAGCUGUCCGUCUCUAAGCGUUGUGGAUUUUUCAAUUCGCUUCGGAGUGCGGAUGGCCGCGGCCGUUAAAUCUUUAUUCAAAGGUUGACCUCGGAUCAGGUAGGGAUACCCGCUGAACUUAAGCAUAUCAAUAUACGGAAGAAGCGGACGAGCAGAGGGCUCACCGCAGGAUCAACCCUUUGUGAACAAACUUGUUGCUUCGGGGGCGACCUGCCGACUACCUCCUCGCCGGGGCCCCGGAAGGUCUCCCAAACAUGUAUCUUUUGCUCGGAAUUUUAAAAAAUUAAACAAAACUUUUAACAACGGCAUCUCUGGGUUCUGGCAUCGAUGAAAAAGCAUCGAAUGCUAUAAGUAAUGUGAAUUGCAGAAUCAUGAAAUCAUCAAAUCUUUCACCCAUUGCGCUUUUGGUAUUCCAAGGCAUGCGGUUUGAGCGUCUUUUCCCACUCGCCGGCCUGGUUAUUCGGGCGGCGCGGUUUUUCGCCCUACAAUCUUCGCUGUAACUGUCUACUCAAGCGUGUUGGGCUUUCUCUAUUUCUUCUGAGAUGCGUAAGGGCUGCCGUUCAAUCUUUAUUACAAAGCUGGACUCGCAUCAGUACGUGAUUAACCUUGAAUUUAGCAACUCAUACACGAGAGUAGAA
RNAcentral lists this ribosomal RNA (1008 nucleotides) under Pseudocercospora sp. TFJ7. RNAcentral's name for it is "eukaryotic LSU rRNA". The stretch from base 149 to 302 matches the Rfam family "5.8S ribosomal RNA". The record is from RNAcentral. Lineage: Eukaryota; Fungi; Ascomycota; Dothideomycetes; Mycosphaerellales; Mycosphaerellaceae.